AACGAGUUUUGGAAGUUACAGACGGUGUCCCCUACCACAUCAAGGCAAAAUGAACGCAAAGGGGAUCCUCGCAGUACUGGCUGUUUGCGCUUUACUUGUUGCAGGCACGUCCGCCUGCGGUGGUGAGGGCCGCUCCGAGUCGGGAAGAUGCGGUGACGGCGAGGCCCGCAGCGAACAAGGACCCGCCGAGGCCCGCCAGGACAGCGCUGCAAUGUCCGGCGAGUCGGCUCGCUGCGGUGGCCAGUCCGGUCGCUGUGAUGGCUAGCGGCACCCUCGGAUACGCAGCUUCUUCCGCCCAAAGCCAGCAGUAUUUAGCCAACUGCAGGGUUGUGGUUUCAAGUCACUGAA
Molecule: long non-coding RNA, 348 nt
Filed under: Dermacentor andersoni
Lineage: Eukaryota; Metazoa; Arthropoda; Arachnida; Ixodida; Ixodidae
Description: uncharacterized LOC126525190
Source: RNAcentral